GGAAGAGAAACUUCGACACAACCAAGGAAAACAGACACAACACCUAUAUCAGAAGAACCUCAUUGUAAAACAGCAACCACUCCACCUUCAUCAUCCUCAACAACACAAGAUACUUACAAAACCUCUGCAGCAACAGUGAACCAAAAUAUACACAAUGUUGGAAUUAGCUUCUCUUUAGUUAUUGUCAUUCUGAUGGUUUUACUGCUGCUGAUAUCCAGUGUAGUUGCAUUUGUUUGUUGGCGAUGCAAAGGUGGAAGGUGUGUCAAGAACAUCAUUACUGACGUAAGUCUGAACUGUAAGGGAAAGCCGGAGGAUAAGGUGAGUUUACAUCCAUGCAUGGCUCUGAUCUUAUGUGGGUUAUUUAACUUUUCAAAUCAGAUUCCUACAGUAGUCCUUUUCAUGUUCUACAUUCAUUUUAUGUUUACAAAAUAUUGUUUUUAUUGUCACUACAUGAUAUUGCACUACUGAGAUAGAGAAUGGUUUUCUCUAUUCUAGCAAUGUGUGUUUGAUUUCUCCAAUAUCGGACAUGCAUAUAUUUAACAUGAGUUUAUUAUGUGUGAAAAAUGCUAAAUUUGCUAACUAUCUUUUGUCUAAAAUGAUCAAAAACAGCACUUUUGGUUUUCUGCCAAAGGAUGAUAAAAAGAAGAAGAAUGAUUUCAAUCCAAAAAGAUUAAAUUAUAUAUUUGCAUGUAAUUUUAAACACUUUAGAAAAUACAGUAAUGGUAAUAAAAAAUAAAAAAAAGUGAUGAAUCAUGCUGUUUUUAUCGCUCGGACAUGUUUAAACAUUUUUUUUUAGAUUAGAUUAG
This is a long non-coding RNA of Silurus meridionalis, 806 nucleotides long. RefSeq lists it as uncharacterized. The transcript has 3 exons. NCBI's taxonomy places the organism in Eukaryota, Metazoa, Chordata, Actinopteri, Siluriformes, Siluridae. The record is from RefSeq and is a predicted model, not a curated record.